Molecule: long non-coding RNA, 720 nt
Organism: Sarcophilus harrisii (Tasmanian devil)
Lineage: Eukaryota; Metazoa; Chordata; Mammalia; Dasyuromorphia; Dasyuridae
Exons: 3
Source: RefSeq, a predicted model, not a curated record
AAAAAGACAAGUUAAAUUUGUUUUUAUCAUUAUUUGGUAAUUGCUGUUUUGUGAUUUGGAAGAAAACCUUAUUGUAAUAGGCAAUUGUUAGAAACUUUCUUUUCAUUUUGCAAAUACUUUAAGGUAUUUAAAUGUGGUAGCAUUAAGUAGAAAUUCCUUUAUUAAACAAAUUAAAAAUAUACUGAUGUUUAUAUUCAGAAACUACUGAAAAGAGAUCUGCAUUAUUUUGAUGAAAUAUCGAUGAAAAAUCAGCUAAUGUACCAACUGCUUGCUAGAUAUCUGCACCUGGAUGUCAUGGAAAUACCUCAAGCUCAACAUAUCCAAAAUCUUUGGGUGAGUGGGAGCAGCCCCUGGAGAGAAGUCCCAACUUCCAUCCAUUGCUCUUCUCAGCCCAGAACUCUCAGAAAGGGUUCCCAGCCUACCAGAAAGAUGAGAUGGAAGUGGAAGUGAAAAAGAGGGCAAUCAAGAAGGAAAAUGUCCUUACUAAGGAAGUUUAACUUUCUUCCUGCCUUGGCUUCUACUGAGAUAAGUGAAGAAGGUAAAAGCGUGUGUGUGGAGCAGACAUCAGGAGGAGGGCGGCUGUCAACGUUGAGACAGAGACUCUGAAUUUGGAAAAGAAACAGCAGGAGGAGGAUGAGAGUAUGCCUUCCCAGUCGAGUUCUCAAGUCAUUCAUCUCUGUGGUCCCUCAAGAAACAGUGUUCAGAUGUUCCAAACAAACA